Molecule: transfer RNA, 49 nt
Filed under: Scriptaphyosemion fredrodi
Lineage: Eukaryota; Metazoa; Chordata; Actinopteri; Cyprinodontiformes; Nothobranchiidae
Description: partial tRNA-Tyr
Source: RNAcentral
AAGCGGUGGAUUGUAGCUCCAUGAACAGAGGUUUGAGCCCUCUUCAUAC